This 264-nucleotide ribosomal RNA is filed under the name uncultured bacterium. Its description in RNAcentral is "partial 16S ribosomal RNA". It matches the Rfam family "Bacterial small subunit ribosomal RNA", at positions 793 to 1055 of the family's 1533-position model. The record is from RNAcentral.
GUCCACGCCGUAAACGAUGAGUGCUAAGUGUUAGAGGGUUUCCGCCCUUUAGUGCUGAAGUUAACGCAUUAAGCACUCCGCCUGGGGAGUACGGCCGCAAGGCUGAAACUCAAAGGAAUUGACGGGGGCCCGCACAAGUGGUGGAGCAUGUGGUUUAAUUCGAAGCAACGCGAAGAACCUUACCAGGUCUUGACAUCCUCUGACAACCCUAGAGAUAGGGCGUUCCCUUCGGGGACAGAGUGACAGGUGGUGCAUGGUUGUCGU